UAAAAUGUAUCUUAAAGAAACACGAGAAUGUGUACUGGAUUAAUCUGGCGCACGAUACGGACCAGUGGGAGGUUCUUUUGAACGCGAUAAACAAUAUUCAGCUCCAUGAAAGUAUCCAGGUCCCAACCUUAUGGUGUUAACAACCAUGUCUACUGGAUAUCAUGACACCAAAGUAGAGGAACAGAGGAAGAAGACGUGGAUCUGUGGAUACUCCACGAAUCCUGCAACACACAUGAAGACUGACAUCCUUCUACCUACAAGGUGAAAGGAUAAUCUGGCCAAAUGACCACUGGAUCUUCAGCUUCAUUAUGAGUUCUAAAUUAUUAGCAAUUUAUUCAAGAGAUUCUUCAGGAAAUUAAUUUUCAUCCCCUGAACCAUCAUCAGAAGGAACACUGAAUGCAUAUUUUUGCAUAUUGCAAUCACUUUCUUUCUAAAAUGAGUCUUUUAAAAUAACUCAUACCAUACAGACAGAACCUGUUUGCAAAAACACUGAAUAUGAGUAAAUUAUUACA
Zootermopsis nevadensis is the source of this 512-nucleotide non-coding RNA. Lineage: Eukaryota; Metazoa; Arthropoda; Insecta; Blattodea; Termopsidae. The record is from RefSeq and is a predicted model, not a curated record.